RNAcentral lists this small nucleolar RNA (102 nucleotides) under Tursiops truncatus (common bottlenose dolphin). RNAcentral's name for it is "Small nucleolar RNA snR62 (ENSTTRG00000024747.1)". The record is from RNAcentral. Lineage: Eukaryota; Metazoa; Chordata; Mammalia; Artiodactyla; Delphinidae.
CUGGCAGAGUAAGCAAUGUAGGAAAUGUAAUCUACAAUUCAUGUGAAUUAAUAACUUUCAAAAGUUUCAAGUAAGAUAAAACAAUUAACACAAAUUCUACUG